This 461-nucleotide ribosomal RNA is filed under the name uncultured bacterium. RNAcentral's name for it is "SSU rRNA". It matches the Rfam family "Bacterial small subunit ribosomal RNA", at positions 26 to 518 of the family's 1533-position model. The record is from RNAcentral.
AGAAUCAACGCUGGCGGCGUGCCUAACACAUGCAAGUCGCACGAGAAAGGGGACUUCGGUUCCUGAGUACAGUGGCGCACGGGUGAGUAACACGUGAAUAAUCUACCUCCGAGUGGGGAAUAACUGAGAGAAAUCUUAGCUAAUACCGCAUAACACUUACGAGUCAAAGCAGCAAUGCGCUUGGAGAGGAGUUCGCGGCAGAUUAGUUAGUUGGCGGGGUAAUGGCCCACCAAGACGAUGAUCUGUAUCCGGCCUGAGAGGGCGCACGGACACACUGGAACUGAAACACGGUCCAGACUCCUACGGGAGGCAGCAGUGGGGAAUUUUGCGCAAUGGGGGAAACCCUGACGCAGCAACGCCGCGUGGAGGAUGAAAUCCCUUGGGAUGUAAACUCUUUCGAUCGGGAAGAUAAAUGACGGUACCGGGAGAAGAAGCCCGGCUAACUUCGUGCCAGCAGCCGC